RNAcentral lists this ribosomal RNA (468 nucleotides) under uncultured bacterium. RNAcentral describes it as "partial 16S ribosomal RNA". It matches the Rfam family "Bacterial small subunit ribosomal RNA", at positions 28 to 507 of the family's 1533-position model. The record is from RNAcentral.
GACGAACGCUGGCGGCGUGCUUAACACAUGCAAGUCGAACGGAAAGGCCCUGCUUUUGUGGGGUGCUCGAGUGGCGAACGGGUGAGUAACACGUGAGUAACCUGCCCUUGACUUUGGUAUAACUUCAGGAAACUGGGGCUAAUACCGGAUAGGAGCUCCUGCUGCAUGGUGGGGGUUGGAAAGUUUCGGCGGUUGGGGAUGGACUCGCGGCUUAUCAGCUUGUUGGUGGGGUAGUGGCUUACCAAGGCUUUGACGGGUAGCCGGCCUGAGAGGGUGACCGGCCACAUUGGGACUGAGAUACGGCCCAGACUCCUACGGGAGGCAGCAGUGGGGAAUAUUGCACAAUGGGCGGAAGCCUGAUGCAGCAACGCAGCGUGCGGGAUGACGGACUUCGGGUUGUAAACCGCUUUCGCCUGUGACGAAGCGUGAGUGACGGUAAUGGGUAAAGAAGCACCGGCUAAAUAAGUG